RNAcentral lists this ribosomal RNA (430 nucleotides) under Pseudomonadota bacterium. RNAcentral's name for it is "Proteobacteria bacterium partial 16S ribosomal RNA". It matches the Rfam family "Bacterial small subunit ribosomal RNA", at positions 355 to 776 of the family's 1533-position model. Lineage: Bacteria; Pseudomonadati; Pseudomonadota. The record is from RNAcentral.
UGGGGAAUAUUGGACAAUGGGGGGAACCCUGAUCCAGCCAUGCCGCGUGUGUGAAGAAGGCCUUAUGGUUGUAAAGCACUUUAAGCGAGGAGGAGGGUACUGGUAUUAAUACUACCAGCUACUGGACGUUACUCGCAGAAUAAGCACCGGCUAACUCUGUGCCAGCAGCCGCGGUAAUACAGAGGGUGCGAGCGUUAAUCGGAUUUACUGGGCGUAAAGCGUGCGUAGGCGGCUAAUUGAGUCGGAUGUGAAAUACACGAGCUUAACUUGGGAAUUGCAUUCGAUACUGGUUAGCUAGAGUGUGGGAGAGGAUGGUAGAAUACCAGGUGUAGCGGUGAAAUGCGUAGAGAUCUGGAGGAAUACCGAUGGCGAAGGCAGCCAUCUGGCCUAACACUGACGCUGAGGUACGAAAGCAUGGGGGGAAAACAGG